AAAUAAACAGAACAAUUGGAGUGCCAAUAUAGGAUAAAAGAAUCUUUGGGUAGGAGGGCAACUGUGUAACAGUAAGAAUGUAAAAGCAUAAGAAAACUCAGCCAAUCUAUUCUACUUAGAAUUACUGUUGUUUCUCUGAUCCUCUUCUCUUUGGCAGGAUCCCCAUGAAGUGCCAGCAAUUCAGGACAGAGUUAUGACACAAAUCAAGGUGUUGGUUGAAGCUUUGUUCCAGGUGCCACUGCCAGGUGAGAAUUUCCAUGUGAGAGUCUGUGGUGCUUUCUCUAGCUCCUUGCUGCACUGUUCUUGUCCUCACGGCAAACAUAAAAUCCAGUCUAUUUUAACAAAAAAUGUUGUCUAAUAGAAGAGCCUUCAUUCCUAAAACACCUUAACGCUGACUUAGUCCAAAUGCCAAGCACAGUUGGAACUAGAAACACUCAUCCUGUACUUUACUAUGACUUUGCAGGAGCUAUAAUUUGUCCUCAAAAAAUGGUGGUGAAAAACACAAAGCUUAUUCAUUAGGAAGUGUGAUAAAGCACUCCAGCCUUCAUUUAUAUUCUCCUUAAGUUUCCAGCAGGUGCCCCAAAAGCACCAGCAGUUGGUUGCUUUUGUUUUUUAAAUAUCUAGAAAUAUGUCUUUAUUUCCUGAUUUCUCUGCGGCUGGGGCCUUCCCUGCUCAACAAGAGUUUGCUUUCAAUCCCUGAUCCUCAAGAUGAAUGACACAAAGGGUUCAGGUCAGCAUCCUAGGCUGUGCCCCCCAGCUGGAAAAGUUCCCAGGUUGACGUUUGUGUGAGGAGCUGCAGAGCAGCGCUGCUCUGCCCAGCGCUCAGUUAGGGGCUGUGCGCCAUGCUGACAGCUGCUGCUGCAGCAGGGCUGCUGCAAAGGGAACUCUUGUUUACAAGCGUGGGGGUGUCUAUAAAUCAUUUACUUAGAAAAAUGAAAAUAUGUUAAUAACACACACUUAUUUAAAGAGCUGCUCUUAAAAAGAGAGACCUUAUGAAGCACCCUACCUCUGAGGAUCAGAGUGUUACAGUUACUCUGUCGUUGUUAUUUUUUUUUUGGCUAAAGUAUACUGUUUCCCUGCUACAAAUGUCCGCAUUCUCAGUCUGGCAUUCUUUUACAGCCAGCAGAACGUUGGGCAUCAUUUUGAUUGUUGCUGAAGGCAGGUUUUCAGACAGUUAUCUGCAGUAAUUUCAGCCUUAAUUUUAGGACCACUAUAACGUGUGUUGUAGCCUGUUCCACUCUUAAAGCAUCCAUACCCUUUCUUCCGAUCUGGAACAGAAACUACCUUCAAAGAAAGCAGAGCUUGAAGAAGUUGCUGACCUUCUGAUGCAUCAUUCUAAUCAGCCAGUGUUUCUAAAUUCUCCAGAUUCAUCUCCUUAUCCAGAUCAGCAGCAGUUCAGUUGAAAAGCAAAAUCAUGGGCAGCUGCACAGAACUAAUUAGAAAUGUGAUUCAAUUGGCAAGGAUAAAUGCAGAAGUAAAAAGGUCUGGAAGUGGACUCAGGAAGCAAAUAACCAAGUGCUACACAAACCAAGUGUCUUCAGAUUUUCAUGGGGAAAAAAGUACAGGCCUUGCAGUUGUACUCACACUCU
Meleagris gallopavo (turkey) is the source of this 1589-nucleotide non-coding RNA. NCBI's taxonomy places the organism in Eukaryota, Metazoa, Chordata, Aves, Galliformes, Phasianidae. The record is from RefSeq and is a predicted model, not a curated record.